GACGAACGCUGGCGGCGUGCUUAACACAUGCAAGUCGAACGGAAAGGCCUCUUUCGGGGGGUACUCGAGUGGCGAACGGGUGAGUAACACGUGAGUAACCUGCCCUUGACUUUGGGAUAACUUCAGGAAACUGGGGCUAAUACCGGAUAGGAGCUCCUGCUGCAUGGUGGGGGUUGGAAAGUUUCGGCGGUUGGGGAUGGACUCGCGGCUCAUCAGCUUGUUGGUGGGGUAGUGGCUUACCAAGGCUUUGACGGGUAGCCGGCCUGGGAGGGUGACCGGCCACCUUGGGACUGAGAGACGGCCCAGACUCCUACGGGAGGCAGCAGUGGGGAGUAUUGCACAAUGGGUGGGAGCCUGAUGCAGCGGCGCUGUGUGCGUGAUGACGGCCUUCGGGUUGUGAACCGCUUUCGCUCAUGACGAAGCUUUGUGUGACGGUAGUGGGUAAAGAAGCACCGGCUAACUACGUG
RNAcentral lists this ribosomal RNA (467 nucleotides) under uncultured bacterium. RNAcentral describes it as "partial 16S ribosomal RNA". It matches the Rfam family "Bacterial small subunit ribosomal RNA", at positions 28 to 507 of the family's 1533-position model. The record is from RNAcentral.